RNAcentral lists this ribosomal RNA (440 nucleotides) under uncultured bacterium. RNAcentral's name for it is "partial 16S ribosomal RNA". It matches the Rfam family "Bacterial small subunit ribosomal RNA", at positions 339 to 795 of the family's 1533-position model. The record is from RNAcentral.
CUACGGGGGGCACCAGUGGGGAAUAUUGCGCAAUGGGGGAAACCCUGACGCAGCAACGCCGCGUGAGUGAUGAAGGCUUUCGGGUCGUAAAGCUCUGUCAGGUGGGAAGAGUAAGGACGGUACCACCAAAGGAAGCACCGGCUAACUCCGUGCCAGCAGCCGCGGUAAUACGGGGGGUGCAAGCGUUGUUCGGAAUUAUUGGGCGUAAAGAGCGUGUAGGCGGCCUGUUAAGUCAGGUGUGAAAGCCCUUGGCUCAACCAAGGAAGGUCAUCUGAAACUAGCAGGCUUGAGUACGGGAGAGGAGAGCGGAAUUCCCAGUGUAGAGGUGAAAUUCGUAGAUAUUGGGAGGAACACCGGUGGCGAAGGCGGCUCUCUGGACCGAUACUGACGCUGAGACGCGAAAGCGUGGGGAGCAAACAGGAUUAGAUACCCUUGUAGUC